CUUUUUUAAAAGUUGUACGUGAACAUGUCAGCUGGAGAACCAUCUUCAAAAUCACCUUCCCAGCUGUGAAGGUCCUCCAGCAUAUUUGCUUGGUCCUCUUUGGCCAUGGUAAGGACAGCAGGCAUUUUCACUUCACCUUCAACGUUUGUCUUGUGACACCAGUCAGCAGCAGCCAUGCUGUCUCUCAAAAUAAUGUUGCCCUGCAGUAAACAAGACAACAAGGAUAAAGUGUUGUGUUGUACAUUGGUGAUUGAUCCAACUGAUUAGAUAGAACAUUAAUAAUCACUUGGGAAGACUCCCUCAGGGAAAUUG
This is a long non-coding RNA of Thalassophryne amazonica, 312 nucleotides long. RefSeq lists it as uncharacterized. The transcript has 3 exons. Lineage: Eukaryota; Metazoa; Chordata; Actinopteri; Batrachoidiformes; Batrachoididae. The record is from RefSeq and is a predicted model, not a curated record.